CAUUAUUGAACAAAAAAUGGGUAGCAAAGGGGGUUGUAGCUGGCUCAGAUGAGUAUGUGCACACCUUUUUGCUGCUUUAUUUCAUUCAUGUUUUCCUCCUGUGCAUUUAUUGUAGAUGUUUGGGAAAAUGAGAGGUUACUGACCUCUUGGAUAAGUCCAGAUGUCUAUGUAUUUUAUUUACAUAUACGUGUGUAAUGAAUGUUGAAUGAGCUUUGUUUUUAAAAAGCUUUUUAAAUUUAAAUGAUAAAAUACAACUUUCAACAACGGAUCUCUUGGCUCUCGCAUCGAUGAAGAACGCAGCGAAAUGCGAUAAGUAAUGUGAAUUGCAGAAUUCAGUGAAUCAUCGAAUCUUUGAACGCAUCUUGCGCUCCUUGGUAUUCCGAGGAGCAUGCCUGUUUGAGUGUCAUUUAAGUAUCUCAGAAGUUCUGGUGUUUAUAGCAUUUUAAAACUUAUGGAAUUGGGAGCUGCUGGUCACUAAUAAAAAAAAAGUGGUGGGCUCUCCUGAAAAGAAUUUAGUGGAGGAAGUUUGCACUCUAUUGGUGUGAUAGACUAUCUAAGCCAUAAGAUGCAUUUAUAAUCCUUUACAAUGUUAAUUGUUCUGAAUGUGGGACAAUAUGACAGACUUGACCUCAAAUCAGGUAGGACUACCCGCUGAACUUAAGCAUAUCAAUAAGCGGAGGAAAAGAAACUAACAAGGAUUCCCUUAGUAACUGCGAGUGAAGAGGGAAAAGCUCAAAUUUAAAAUCUGGCAGUUUGGACUGUCCGANUUGUAGCCUAGAGAAGUGUAACCUGUGCUGGANCAUGUACAAGUCUCCUGGA
Molecule: ribosomal RNA, 819 nt
Filed under: uncultured fungus
Lineage: Eukaryota; Fungi
Description: eukaryotic LSU rRNA
Rfam family: 5.8S ribosomal RNA (bases 253-406)
Source: RNAcentral